AUGGUAAUUGUGUCGUCUUCUGGUACCAAACUUACCAUUUACAUUGUGGGUGGAUUACUUAUCUGUUCCUUGGAUUCGCUACUGUCUCUUCUCGGUGUUGGGGCAAGGCAUCAGGACCUUGGAGCCUCUUUUUUGUUCUGUCCGCAAGAUCAGUGUUCUCAACUGGUUGUAGCCUGUUUACCAAUUAUGCCGAAAAUCAUCUGUGUUACUUUUGGCACAUCUUUAGAAGUACCUACUAUCUCUAUGAUAUGUUGUUCUCAGAAUGAUGGCGUGUUCUAUAUGAUUUUUUUGCAUGAGUCAUAUUUCUUUUGGAGUGCUUUACUUAAGCAAGUUAUUUCUUAUAUAUUUGCAGUGUUUCUUGCACUGUAUUAA
RNAcentral lists this ribosomal RNA (372 nucleotides) under Triticum aestivum (bread wheat). RNAcentral describes it as "partial small subunit ribosomal RNA". The record is from RNAcentral. Lineage: Eukaryota; Viridiplantae; Streptophyta; Magnoliopsida; Poales; Poaceae.